RNAcentral lists this ribosomal RNA (823 nucleotides) under uncultured bacterium. RNAcentral describes it as "bacterial SSU rRNA". It matches the Rfam family "Bacterial small subunit ribosomal RNA", at positions 8 to 813 of the family's 1533-position model. The record is from RNAcentral.
AGAGUUUGAUCCUGGCUCAGGAUGAACGCUGGCGGCGUGCCUAAUACAUGCAAGUCGAGCGAACAGACGAGGAGCUUGCUCCUCUGACGUUAGCGGCGGACGGGUGAGUAACACGUGGAUAACCUACCUAUAAGACUGGGAUAACUUCGGGAAACCGGAGCUAAUACCGGAUAAUAUAUUGAACCGCAUGGUUCAAUAGUGAAAGACGGUUUUGCUGUCACUUAUAGAUGGAUCCGCGCCGCAUUAGCUAGUUGGUAAGGUAACGGCUUACCAAGGCAACGAUGCGUAGCCGACCUGAGAGGGUGAUCGGCCACACUGGAACUGAGACACGGUCCAGACUUCUACGGGAGGCAGCAGUAGGGAAUCUUCCGCAAUGGGCGAAAGCCUGACGGAGCAACGCCGCGUGAGUGAUGAAGGUCUUCGGAUCGUAAAACUCUGUUAUUAGGGAAGAACAAAUGUGUAAGUAACUAUGCACGUCUUGACGGUACCUAAUCAGAAAGCCACGGCUAACUACGUGCCAGCAGCCGCGGUAAUACGUAGGUGGCAAGCGUUAUCCGGAAUUAUUGGGCGUAAAGCGCGCGUAGGCGGUUUUUUAAGUCUGAUGUGAAAGCCCACGGCUCAACCGUGGAGGGUCAUUGGAAACUGGAAAACUUGAGUGCAGAAGAGGAAAGUGGAAUUCCAUGUGUAGCGGUGAAAUGCGCAGAGAUAUGGAGGAACACCAGUGGCGAAGGCGACUUUCUGGUCUGUAACUGACGCUGAUGUGCGAAAGCGUGGGGAUCAAACAGGAUUAGAUACCCUGGUAGUCCACGCCGUAAACGAUGAG